UCUUAGCUCUGUUGAUGAUUUGUAGGUAUAGCUGAGGAUGUCGAUCUUUCUUGAAUAAUCUGUACGUUCGAAGCUUAUUUCCAUUUAAUUUGUUCUUGUCUUAACAAUGACCUA
Long non-coding RNA from Haliotis rubra (blacklip abalone), 114 nucleotides. RefSeq lists it as uncharacterized. Lineage: Eukaryota; Metazoa; Mollusca; Gastropoda; Lepetellida; Haliotidae. The transcript has 3 exons. The record is from RefSeq and is a predicted model, not a curated record.